This 460-nucleotide ribosomal RNA is filed under the name uncultured bacterium. Its description in RNAcentral is "partial 16S ribosomal RNA". It matches the Rfam family "Bacterial small subunit ribosomal RNA", at positions 338 to 795 of the family's 1533-position model. The record is from RNAcentral.
CCUACGGGAGACAGCAGUGAGGAAUAUUGGUCAAUGGGCGCUAGCCUGAACCAGCCAAGUAGCGUGAAGGAUGACUGCCCUAUGGGUUGUAAACUUCUUUUAUAUGGGAAUAAAGUGCAGCACGUGUACUUCUUUGUAUGUACUUUAUGAAUAAGGAUCGGCUAACUCCGUGCCAGCAGCCGCGGUAAUACGGAGGAUCCGAGCGUUAUCCGGAUUUAUUGGGUUUAAAGGGAGCGUAGAUGGGUGGUUAAGUCAGUUGUGAAAGUUUGCGGCUCAACCGUAAAAUUGCAAUUGAUACUGGCAGCCUGGAGUACAGUUGAGGUAGGCGGAAUUCGUGGUGUAGCGGUGAAAUGCUUAGAUAUCACGAAGAACUCCGAUUGCGAAGGCAGCCUACUAAACUGUAACUGACAUUGAUGCUCGAAAGUGUGGGUAUCAAACAGGAUUAGAUACCCGGGUAGUC